This is a long non-coding RNA of Lagopus muta (rock ptarmigan), 5673 nucleotides long. RefSeq lists it as uncharacterized. Lineage: Eukaryota; Metazoa; Chordata; Aves; Galliformes; Phasianidae. The transcript is spliced from 2 exons. The record is from RefSeq and is a predicted model, not a curated record.
CAGUACUGGCUCGGAGUGAGGCAAAAAGGCAGCAGUACCAGGCAGCAACGUGCACCAAACCACAUGCAAGAGGUAAAUCUGCUCCACUCCUUCAAAGCCUGUCCUGCAAGUUGUUUCUAGGUGGAUGUACAGAAGGAUGUCCGUGCCUCAUAAAGCUGCAGUCCCUACUGCCCAGGGAAGCAUGGAUGAAGCCAGUAGUGAAAAUCCAUUGUAACGUAGGUUCUGAUCAGCUCCACAUGCCUACCAGUCUAACGCUGUGCUUUGAGAAUGACAUCCAGAGGCCACAGCACAGGGAAAGGCCAAGUCAUGGACUUUUGCAUUACCUGCUGCCUAUGCUGUAAGACCACAUCCAUCGCUGUAGUAAAAACUAAAAAUGUGGCAGUUAUCAGUGGAAAAAGUGUGCUAUGGUAUUAACUAAACAGUAAUGGCUGUUUGUUCUGUGCUGUGGUGGAUGUGUUGGUGGGUCAGCUGAAGGACACCCAAGCUUUGAGAACGAACUCUCUGACACUACAUGGUUCAAAAUGACCACUGAUGAAAAACUGCAGAGCCAAGCAGAUAAACCAGGCGUGGGUCCUGGGAAAGAGGGAAUCAUCCCAGCUCCCUGUGAACUCAGUGAAGCGGAAUGAAGAAGCAUCUGAGUGUCGUUAUUUGAGUCUCGUUAUUUGCUGAUACCUCCGUGUUUUUGCCCAGUGAGAAUCCUUCUGUGCCGAGUCACUGUGUUUGGGGUUGGUUUGUUUGAAACAAACACAGUUCCUCCAUGGUAGCUGAAUGCAAUAGCAGCCAGUGAGAAUUCAGGGGGCUGGUUCAAAAGAUUUCAGCUUUGGAAAGCCACGCAGUUAAUGCUUGCUCCAGAAAAGGGGCACAUAAAAUCAUUUUUUUCUGAAACUGAUGUUUAAUAGGGGCCAUGUGAUUGGUGGAGGUUGUUUUGAGGGCGUAUUAGAAACUAUAUAUGUUUAAAAAAAUAUCGUGUGGGGAAACUGCCAGGCCUGGGAAGUGCAGUGCAAGCUGUCCUGGCGAGGCUCAGCGUUGACUCUGUGCUUUAGACAUCAGCUUUUAGCAUUCUCUGCCUUCCUUUCUGUUUAUGAAAUUCAUUUUUUAGUGCACCAAACCUCUACAAUAGUCAUUACAGGUGAGAACUUGCUAUCAACAGAAAUAAUGCUUAAUUUUAUGGGAGAUGCAUAGAGGGAAUUAUUUCGCUAGGGGCUAAAUAAAUACAUUUUCCAUAGCACCUCUCAAUUCCCAGAGCAUUAGGAAACCACAUUUCUGUCAGUAAGCAAAUCCACAGCUGAUGUCUGGGCUAUCAGUGUGCUCAUAUUUCUUGCAGACUGAAAAUGUGAUCAUCAUUCUUGCUUCUUCCCUCCCAGUAAUGCAAGGAGGAGGAUCCCUUCCUGUCUGGGUUGUGAAAACUGCUUAACUUAGAGUAUUUGUUUUACCAAGGGAAGAUAAUGGUAGGGAAGAAGGGGGUGGCAUCCGGUUCUGGGGCAGGAGGGCCUUCAUUGCAGUGCUCCUGCCCCAGAGGGGAGCUGUUGAUUGUUCGGUUGUUGGGGUGAUCCAAGCAAAAAGCAGGGUUAAAUUCUCAUCGCAUUAACAGGAGAACUUUAAGGAACAAUCUCGAAAAAAAACCAACCCUAUUCAUCGCAGUAGUUAAUUUGCCAGCUACAAAAAAUAGACGCUGAAUGUGUUUUCUUGGCCAAAGGAAGAUGAAGCAUUGUCGCUUCAGUGGCAGUUGUAUUAAUGGUCACUGUUAACAACUGCUGAAAAAAGAAACAAGAUAGUUUGCACAGGGCUAUUUGGGUACCUGUUUAGAAACAGCUAUUCUUCUAUUCCAGCAGAAUAGAAAGCAUCACCCUCUCCACAGUUAAGUAGUUCAUUCUUGAAAAAUUCCCUUUCUAUUGCAAGUAGCAUCAGCGCAGAUUUUGGUUGGCAGCCAUAUAUGCUAAACACGCCUAGGUAGGAGUCUGAGGGAUCAGAUACAUAGAGAAAAUUACCUCAGGCUAAGACAAGCAAUUUAUUUUGUGCUUGCUGUGAGCCAGAAGCACACGCUGAUCUGCAGCACCUCCCCAUUUCUCCACAGUGCCAUUUUCAUCCAGCAAGCCUAAGCAGUGCAGCUAGUCUUUUGGAAAAUUGUCUGUUGUGCUAAUGUUCUGUUAAUGACUUGUGCAGCUUGCUUAUUUCCCAUCAUCAUCGUUUGUGAAACGACUCUUGUCGGAGCUCCCUGCAGCACCAGGGAAGCUCAGCGGCGGCACUGCGGGCUGUGGGGAAGGCCUGGGCCACGCAGCCAAGUUGUGGCAGCACGUGGGCACAUCUGUCACACAGUGACGCCCAUCUGAAUGAUCUGGAGAGCCUUCAGCUAAAGCACGGGGAUUGAGAGAGCUGAGCGCAGGGCAGAGCGCAUACAAAGCAUUGCUGACUCGGGGCAGGAGGCACCCAUGGGGCAGGGAUGCUGCGACAGGCAGGUGCGCCUCGAGCCCUCUGUGAGAACAGCUGGCCCUAGCUGGGUUGGGACAUGGGCAAUUCUAAGAAAAGGAUGUUGAGCUGAGGUGUUUGCAGUUCCAUAUCCGUGCAUUUUGUGUGGAGGAGAGCUGGCUUAUUGGCGCUGCGCUGCACUUUAACAAUAACCUUCAAUAGCGCGACGUGAGGGAGACAUUCGUGUACGGCCACAGGCACGUGUGUGUGCAGCCAGUAACCUGCUAGGGAAGUAAGCACAGCACAGAACCUUCUCUGAAGUGUUGUGUUCCCAUCAUUGGGUCUGACUGCAGGCGAGAGUCGCAGUGACCUCGUGUACCUCCUAGAGAACGCCUGCUCCUGGACCCAGAGGUGCAACUGACCUACAUGGAGAGCUUGUUUCCCCCAAGAGUCACAUUUGGAAGGGCAAUCCUGUUCAGAGAAAUACUGAGGAAAUAUAAAAGAAGCCUUUUCUAUGGAAGUUUUUAAAGCUGUGGAUGUCAUCAGGAAAUAAGAUACUGACGGGACUGCAUGGGUAAAAUACAGAAAGGUCAAGCUCGAAUGGUGCGAGUCACUUGAAAAAGCACACCAGAAUCUGAAAAUGGGAGUUUGUUGUUAAAAGCAAAGACAGAAGAAAGGAAUUACAGAAUAUGUAACAAAGGAACAAAAGCUUCAAAACGUGUUCUCAGGGAUUUGUAAUAUUUACAGUUUGGGGUUUGUUUUUUUUCCAUACAAGUAAUGCGUUGCUUUUUAAACUGUAUCUUUUUGUCUGCUCAUACGUUCCAAAAUAAAGUCAGUGUUUAAUUUUAGGGAAAGCUCCAGGGAAGCGGGGAAAGCUGUGAUGAGAAGGCGAUUUGCUGUGUUUCAGAAGACAACCUCAGCAUGUUUUAUCUGUACUCUUUUGAAAAAUACUAGCCUUAUCUCCAUGGAAGAAAUGCAAAGAGCAUCCUCUUCAUAAUUCUUGCACUUCACAAACAGCAUAUGACAUCUGACGUUUAAAAAUUGCAAUUUAUUGUGGGCCUAUUCGUAAAGCUUGUGUCUGAUGCAGUGUUUUUCACUAAAAUAUUGAAGUAAUUUUGUGGGAGAGAGGAAAAUCCUUUCCAUUUAUUUACUGAUCUUUAGUACAGAGGGAUAUCCAGCACAGUACAGUUACUGUACAUGGAUGGCCCAUCAAAUCAACCUUCGAAUUGCAACCCUGCUUGUCAUCUGUUUGAAAAUCUCUUGCAAAUUACCAUUAACAAGUCAUAUUAGAAACAUCAGGAAUAAUAAGUGCUUUCAAACAGUGGGCUGUCAAAUUACAUAGUCUGUUUGUUCUUUAGGAAGGAAAAAUUCAUAAAAGCAUAUAAAAGCCUUGAAAACCUGAAAGGCAAGACAUGUUUGUUCAGUAGUAAUAUUCUUACACGAGAAACUCAACUUAUUUUCUUAGCAUGUUUGUUUUCAUAAGAAAAUGUUUGUUUUCAUGAGAAAAUAGGUUAAUCUUGAGAAAAUAUGGGCUGUUCCUUUGUGCUCAUGACUGUAGUUUUCAUCUCCUCCUACACAGGGUCUGGUCCUGUUCAGUACGAAGGCAGUAGUAAAGCUUUUAUUUCAUUCACUGGAGAAGAAUCAUGCGCCUUAUUAUUAUCCUCAUUCUAUGUAAUUACCAGAUAAAAUUAUUUGAAUAAAUUGGCUUUCAUGACAACCAACCAAAUCAUUUCUAUCCUGGCUUAAAAGCCAAUUUCAUCUCCUUGUAGCUCUUCUGCACUGGAAGGCAGGACGAGUUCGUGGAGCAGGCAGAGCAGCGUGCCCCAGCCUGGCCUCACCUGCGCCCUGCGGAGCUCUGGGGCAGCUGCACAAAGAUGGCACGUCCCCCUGCUAACCUGCAUGUUCUGCUUUCCAGCACAUCCAAGGUACCGUGGUUGAUGAAGGACGAACCACGGAAAUUCAUUCAUUUCCAGCUGUACGGCUGUCGUGCAUUCAUAUCCUCCUGUAUAUUUUAAAUGCAAGGGAGAAUUUAAACCUAAUUGGUUUUAGCUUGUAGAGCGUCAAAGAUUUACAGAGCAUAGCUAAUUUUGGGAGACCUGUUCCAACUAUUUUUUGCAUUUAGUGUAUUUGCUGGCUAAAGCAUGAAGGGAGACAAAUAUUACAGAGACAUUACUGCAUCUUCUAAUUAAAGAGCAGGCAGAAUUCAAUCUCGGCACAUUCCAAAUCUCUGUACCAAAUGAAAGGAUCUGAAAAACUUGUUACUCAUGGGGGUACGUGCUUCCUGCAUUUCAUACUAGAAUGACUCUGGCAAUAGGAAGCAGAGACGGGAGGGUCCAAAUCAAAUUAAGAAAAAUAAUAAAAUAUUAAUGGGAAUUUUAAAAAAGGAAAUAGCUCUAGAAGAAGAAUGGGGGGAUUUAAAAGCCUAGGCUAGUUUUUGGAUUAAAUUCCUGGUUUGUUUUCUUUUUUGCCUGCUCCAAGAAGCAAGACAGCUUUGCUAGUGGAUGUUGUACAAAUGCUAAAAUGUGGAACGCAUAAGAAAUAUUUUCAAUAAGGAGAAAUAUGGAUGCCAGAACUGCACAGAACUUCCAGAGUGCAAGAGAAAAAUCGCCGUCGUCUCUCCUUGCAGGCUGGCUUUCUGGCAAUGCGAUUCCUUUGCUUCCUACACAGUUCUAGAUCAAACUCCAGUUAAUGAGUCACCGAGGAUCCCCGUGGUCGGGAAAGACCCCAGCACGUAAGUAGUUGUUACUACAGUAAAAGAUGCCAGACAAUCUUUCCCUGAAAUGGUAGCCAGUAGAUACUCACUCAUUUCAGCUUUUAUUUACGUGCUUGUUAUGAAAAGGACAGUGGUGCUGGCUUUAGGACGUUAGCAACACUUAAUAAUAACACUUAUGUAGGUGUGCACACGUGUACAUGGAAUGAGCAAAUCAUACAUAGCUCCACCUUUAUCUUCAGGCAAGAAGAAAAGAGGUGUUUUUUUCCUGUUGAUCCCUGUUGCUACUUCAGCAAUUGUUUCCUGCGGCUGUACUACGUCUGUAGUUUUCAAUUAUGGGUGAUUAAGUAUGAAUCUAUACUUUAUUAUUAGCUACAUCUAUAUCUACUCCAAUUAUAUGUGUAGCGUGCGUACACAGACACCAGCUGCUAGAAUAAAAUAGACCUUUAUUGAUUUUUUUCCUGGAGUUAUACGCUUGCAAGAUCAAAUUUUCUAUUUCUGAGCUAUAUUUACAUGUAAAUGUUAAUAAAACCAUAUAUCCACUCGCCUGAUAGAGA